GCUGCUGGGCGGUCACCUGGGAGUGCCGCCUCGGGAGGAGCCGGGGCUGUCCCAGGAAUGCUUUCACUCGGCCCAACCAUGGCUGCGGCCCUGCGCGCCGCGGGCGCCCUGCUCCGGGAUCCGCUGGCGUCCGGCAGCUGGAGGGCCGGUCAACCGCGGAGGUGGAAGUGGCUGCAGCCGCAGCAGCUGCCGCUGCAGAAACAACCCAGCAUGCCUGGGCCGCAAAGCCUCAAGUUCAGCCGGAGAAGAGGAAGCCAAAAACUGGAAUAUUAAUGCUAAACAUGGGAGGCCCUGAAACCCUUGGAGAUGUUCACGGCUUCCUUCUGAGACUCUUCUUGGACCGAGAUCUCAUGAUGCUUCCUAUUCAGAAUAAGCAAUGAAUGGCACCAUUCAUUGCCAAACGCCGAACCCCCAAGAUUCAAGAGCAGUACCGCAGGAUUGGAGGCGGAUCCCCCAUCAAGAUGUAGACUUCCAAGCAGGGAGAGGGCGUGGUGAAGCUGCUGGAUGAAUUGUCCCCCAACACAGCCCCUCACAAAUACUAUAUUGGAUUUCGGUAUGUCCAUCCUUUAACAGAAGAAGCAAUUGAAGAGAUGGAGAGAGACGGCCUAGAAAGGGCUAUUGCUUUCACGCAGUAUCCACAGUACAGCUGCUCCACCACAGGCAGCAGCCGAAAUGCCAUUUACAUAUACUAUAAUCAAGUGGGACGGAAGCCCAUGAUGAAGUGGCGCACUAUUGACAGGUGGCCCACACAUCGCCUCCUCAUUCAAUGCUUUGCAGACCACAUUCUAAAGGAAUUGGACCAUUUUCCACUUGAGAAGAGAAUCGAGGUGGUCAUUCCGUUUUCUGCUCACUCACUGCCAAUGUCCGUGGUCAACAGAGUGACCCGUAUCCUCAGGAGGUGAGCGCCACUGUCCAAAAGGUCAUGGAAAGGCUGGAGUACUGCAACCCCUUCCGACUGGUGUGGCAAUCCAAGGUUGGUCCAAUGCCCUGGUUAGGUUCUCAAACAGAUGAAUCUAUCAAAGGACUCUGUGAGAGGGGGAGGAAGAAUAUCCUCUUGGUUCCGAUAGCAGGACAUCCAGUACUCAAGUUUUAGCCAAGGGGUGUGGAGUUGAAAACAUCAGAAGAGCAGUCUCUUAAUGGAAAUCCAUUGUUCUCUAAGGCCCUGGCCGACUUGGUGCAUUCACACAUCCAGUUAAACGAGCUGUGCUCCAAGCAGCUGAUGCUGAGCUGUCCACUCUGUGUCAAUCCUGUCUGCAGGGAGAUUAAUUGUUCUUCACCAAACAGCAGCUGUGACCCCUGCCAGUGGACCCUGUGACAUUAGGUAAAUGCCCAACCUCUAGAUACCCCUGACUUGGAGAGGAUGUUGUUUAGAGAUCAAGGAAGGAAGUCACCCUUCCUUGAUAUAUAUCCAGCCUUUGGGCACAAAUUGUGUGAUUUCUUGAGGAUUGGACUCUAUUGAUAGAUUUCUAUUUUUAUAUAACUAUACAGGAAGCAUUUAGAUUUUCUCUCUCUAGGUAUAAGUUACUAAUUUGGAAUGUACACUAGGACCUUUAAUAAGUAAAAAAUUUAUCUUAUCAGAUACACCUAUGUUAAAUACAGAUUGUGGCUUUAUUGCCCCAAAGCCUCCUGAAAGGGUACAGAGAGCCCUCUUUGUGGGCCGUCAGUGUGAAUGAGAUCUGUUUACAGUCUUUCGCAUAUAGUUGCUGUUUUUUAAAUGAACAUAGUUGAGUGUUUGAAAUGAAUUUGAAAAAGAAAUGUUACUUAACCUUUCCCUAAUCCCAUGGUUUACAGAAAGCUAGGGGGGCAAUGUGGUUACCUGCAAUGGCUGCUUUCGCCAGCGAGGCCACCAUUCACUGGUCAUCUUGGUAUUUGUGUGGGAAUCUUACUUUCCUCCAUGUAAAAAAAACCAAGUAUGCAUUUCAGAAGUGCUCUGAGAGUCCUCGUAUAACCAAGGCUAGUAAAUAUGUAGAAGUACAGUGUCCGUCAAACGUGCCUUAGUGGGAGUUCAGGGUGCCACAGGGAAGGGGCUCCCACUGCUUCCGGUGUCCAGGGACAGCGCUGCUGGAAAGGCCAAGGAUGAGCUUUCCCCUGGAGCUCCCCCGGGACCUCGCGAGCCUUUCCACCUGGCGGCUUCUCUAUCUUAGUCGAAUGCCUUCUUUCUGCACAUUUGUUUGAAGAAUUCUUUUAUAAAGUCAACGAUGCUUUGUAAUCCUGAAUUCUUCCUUAAUUCAUGGUUUUUUAUUAUAAAAAUUAUGUAGCCAUACAAUGGGACAUGUGAAGAAUACAGAUAAGUUACCACUUUGAUGCAGUAACUAUUAGCAUAAUAUUGUAUUUCAUGCCAGUCCUUUCCUGUAGAUAUUUUUAAUGCCAUUUCAACCUUGGAUUUGUGAGUGAAAAGUGUUUCUAAAAAUACAGAAAUAAUGUCAGAUCAGAAUGUGAUCCUCUAUAUUUGUAUUUAAAUGAAUUAGAAGAUUCCUGGUGGUUCUAUGAA
Non-coding RNA from Callithrix jacchus (white-tufted-ear marmoset), 2491 nucleotides. NCBI's taxonomy places the organism in Eukaryota, Metazoa, Chordata, Mammalia, Primates, Cebidae. The record is from RefSeq and is a predicted model, not a curated record.